Molecule: long non-coding RNA, 303 nt
Filed under: Rattus norvegicus (Norway rat)
Lineage: Eukaryota; Metazoa; Chordata; Mammalia; Rodentia; Muridae
Description: long non-coding RNA NONRATT033724
Source: RNAcentral
AUCUGAGGAGAGAUUGUAUGCUGUGCUGAAGUCACGAUGUGAACUGUCACAGAUGGGAAAUGUUAACAACAAGCGUUAGCUCACUGGAGUUGGAUUUAUUCAAAUGCUGUCGUUCUUGCUAAUAGAUUAUAGAUACAUCUCAGUCCUUUUUUUUUCCUUUUUAGAAGUUCCUGCCGAGGUCAUCAUCUACUCAUGGAACAAUGGUACUAGCAGCCAAAGAAUCCAGCAGGGCAUUGAACAGCAGAAGAUUCACAGCAGACAAGUUUCCCCUCCUGUGUACACAGAUUUGAAAUAACAGUGGAA